UACGUAGGGGGCAAGCGUUGUCCGGAAUCAUUGGGCGUAAAGAGCGCGUAGGCGGUCCGGUAAGUCGGUUGUGAAAACUGGGGGCUCAACCCUCAGAGGCCGACCGAUACUGUCGGGCUAGAGUCCGGAAGAGGCGAGUGGAAUUCCUGGUGUAGCGGUGGAAUGCGCAGAUAUCAGGAGGAACACCAAUAGCGAAGGCAGCUCGCUGGGACGUUACUGACACUAAGGCGCGAAAGCGUGGGGAGCGAACAGG
RNAcentral lists this ribosomal RNA (253 nucleotides) under uncultured bacterium. Its description in RNAcentral is "partial 16S ribosomal RNA". It matches the Rfam family "Bacterial small subunit ribosomal RNA", at positions 524 to 776 of the family's 1533-position model. The record is from RNAcentral.